This 1141-nucleotide long non-coding RNA is filed under the name Canis lupus familiaris (dog). RNAcentral describes it as "lncRNA (ENSCAFG00845010130.1)". Lineage: Eukaryota; Metazoa; Chordata; Mammalia; Carnivora; Canidae. The record is from RNAcentral.
GCCAGUUUCCCCAUCUAAAAGUGGAAAUAUUCCACAUAGUGCUGAGCUUGUCAGUGAACUGGCCCUGGGGAGACCCCGCACUCUCUGCAAAGUCCAGGAGGGUCUCUUGGCGGGGGUCCCCUACAGAGAAGCCACCUCCCCUGCAAACAAUACAAAGACAACAAGGCAACAAGGACCUCUGUUGGCCUCGGGCUUUUAGAACCAAAAUGAGCCAAGAUGAUCAGUGGUACCCAGGCCACAGGAGAACAUUCAAGUGUGACGUCCCCAAGUAUGUUCAAGGAAGAGCAUUGGUGUGGGGCACCUGGGUGGUGCCGUUGGUGAAGCAUCUUAUUCAGCUCAGGUCAGGACCUCAUGCGUUGUGAGAUGGAAUUGGGCUCUUUCCCUCUGCUCCUCCUUCAACUCAUGCUCUCUAAAAUAAAUCUUUUUUAAAAAUCAUGUUUAUUUAGGAAAACAUAAUUCUCGUGACGUCCUUGUUGGAGAUACUUUACGCUAAAAAUGAAAACCCUGCAAGCGCCGUGUAGGGCCACCCUCGCUUAGAGGCGCUAAACCAGGAAAGACCUUCCGGGCCGCGCACGCGCACAGCGCUCUGCCGCAGAGGCCCGACACCACCGCGCAAACCGCCGGGGGGCUGAAGGGGGGAGGGGCCCGCGCACGCGCAGAGCUGCACAACAUGGCGGCUACGAGAGGUCAGGGAAGGGAGAGAGAGGAGAGGCGAAGAGAAAUGGGAAACCGAGCUUGAGCUCCAGAACCAGGGAGAGGGGAUGGGAGACCCCGACAGCAAGCCUGUCCAUUCAGUCCCGAUCAGCCUGGAGCCCCACACGGAAGAAUGGUUGCUGACCUCAUCUCAGAACAUGUCCAAGCCUCCCCCCUCACGUGGGUGCUGCGCAUGCCUUCCAGACGAACCUCUUCAGCCUUCACCUUCUGUCCAUACCGGCCAAAGAUGGGUGUUCAAGAUCCUCAUCUGUAACAACGUGCUUGGCGCACCCAUUAUGGUCACAGUUCUGUGGAGCUUUAUCAAUAAAAUUAGACUGUGCAGACAAACUACAGAAAGCUCCAUCCCCCUCCCUCCAGCAGCUGAGCCAGGCAGGGGAGGGAGCCCACAUGCAUGACUUAAUCUGACUUUGUUAGCGUCCUGCUGGCU